This 119-nucleotide ribosomal RNA is filed under the name Triticum dicoccoides. The record is from RNAcentral. Lineage: Eukaryota; Viridiplantae; Streptophyta; Magnoliopsida; Poales; Poaceae.
GGAUGCAAUCAUACCAGCACUAAAGCAUCGGAUCCCAUCAGAACUCCGAAGUUAAGCGUGCUUGGGUGAGAGUAGUACUAGGAUGGGUGACCUCCUGGUAAGUCCUCGUGUUGCAUUCC